GGAAACGAUGGCUAAUACCGCAUAAUGCCUACGGGCCAAAGAGGGGGAUCUUCGGACCUCUCGCGUCAAGAUAUGCCUAGGUGGGAUUAGCUAGUUGGUGAGGUAAUGGCUCACCAAGGCGACGAUCCCUAGCUGGUCUGAGAGGAUGAUCAGCCACACUGGAACUGAGACACGGUCCAGACUCCUACGGGAGGCAGCAGUGGGGAAUAUUGCACAAUGGGCGAAAGCCUGAUGCAGCCAUGCCGCGUGUAUGAAGAAGGCCUUCGGGUUGUAAAGUACUUUCAGUUGUGAGGAAGGGGGUGUAGUUAAUAGCUGCGCAUCUUGACGUUAGCAACAGAAGAAGCACCGGCUAACUCCGUGCCAGCAGCCGCGGUAAUACGGAGGGUGCGAGCGUUAAUCGGAAUUACUGGGCGUAAAGCGCAUGCAGGUGGUUCAUUAAGUCAGAUGUGAAAGCCCGGGGCUCAACCUCGGAACUGCAUUUGAAACUGGUGAACUAGAGUGCUGUAGAGGGGGGUAGAAUUUCAGGUGUAGCGGUGAAAUGCGUAGAGAUCUG
Molecule: ribosomal RNA, 553 nt
Filed under: Vibrio sp. 110L
Lineage: Bacteria; Pseudomonadati; Pseudomonadota; Gammaproteobacteria; Vibrionales; Vibrionaceae
Description: bacterial SSU rRNA
Rfam family: Bacterial small subunit ribosomal RNA
Source: RNAcentral